RNAcentral lists this small RNA (31 nucleotides) under Bombyx mori (domestic silkworm). RNAcentral describes it as "ovarian small RNA-27493". The record is from RNAcentral. Lineage: Eukaryota; Metazoa; Arthropoda; Insecta; Lepidoptera; Bombycidae.
UCCGAUCACGAGGUGAGCCCCCUGAGGCGGC